CAGUAGCCGCGGUAAUACGAAGGGGGCUAGCGUUGUUCGGAAUCACUGGGCGUAAAGGGUGCGUAGGCGGGCGACUCAGUCAGGGGUGAAAUCCCGAGGCUCAACCUCGGAACUGCCUUUGAUACUGGUUGUCUUGAGUCCGGAAGAGGUGAGUGGAACUGCGAGUGUAGAGGUGAAAUUCGUAGAUAUUCGCAAGAACACCGGUGGCGAAGGCGGCUCACUGGUCCGGAACUGACGCUGAGGCACGACAGCGUGGGGAGCAAACAGGAUUAGAUACCCCCGUAGUCCCUGUCUCUUAUAC
RNAcentral lists this ribosomal RNA (301 nucleotides) under uncultured bacterium. RNAcentral's name for it is "partial 16S ribosomal RNA". It matches the Rfam family "Bacterial small subunit ribosomal RNA", at positions 509 to 807 of the family's 1533-position model. The record is from RNAcentral.